UACAGAGGGUGCGAGCGUUAAUCGGAAUGACUGGGCGUAAAGGGCGCGUAGGCGGCCGUGCAAGCGUGGCGUAAAAUUCCCGGGCUCAACCUGGGGCGGCGCCACGGACUGCAUGGCUGGAGUACUGGAGAGGGCAGUGGAAUUUCCGGUGUAGCGGUGAAAUGCGUAGAGAUCGGAAGGAACACCGGUGGCGAAGGCGGCUGCCUGGCCAGUUACUGACGCUGAGGCGCGAAAGCGUGGGGAGCGAACAGG
Molecule: ribosomal RNA, 252 nt
Filed under: uncultured bacterium
Lineage: Bacteria
Description: partial 16S ribosomal RNA
Rfam family: Bacterial small subunit ribosomal RNA
Source: RNAcentral